This is a long non-coding RNA of Catharus ustulatus (Swainson's thrush), 2180 nucleotides long. RefSeq lists it as uncharacterized. The record is from RefSeq and is a predicted model, not a curated record. The transcript has 3 exons. NCBI's taxonomy places the organism in Eukaryota, Metazoa, Chordata, Aves, Passeriformes, Turdidae.
UUCACAGGCAUCCAAUUUAGGUUUUCAGCAUUCAAGCUGGCUACAAUCCAGCCAACAGCACAGCAAGGAACACCUUCAGAAAGAUCUGCUUCAUCAUUUGAGUGCAGUAUAGGAACAUGUUAGCGGUCAUUAUAUGAGCUAACUCAAACACUAAAAAACUGAAUCCUGGACACAAAAAAUAUGUUAGUCAUGACAAGCUUACUUCAUAUCAAAAUCCCACAGAAAUUUAUGUGACUUGUAAAGUGUGAACCAGAAGGUGCUCUCAGAAAACUUCUAUCCAGUUCAGCAGUUUGCCCUCCAAGACAUGGGAAACUGAAGUUCUACAUGAGGGCUUGAAAUCCUACUUCCCAGUACCUGGAGAACAUUCCAUAUUGUAGGUAUUACAAUAUUUUGAAACAAGCUAUUUAACCUAAAGAGAGUGUACAACCAUGAACAGAAUCCCCAUAUUCCUUUCCCACAAAGAUCUCAAACUCCUUUCCAAGGUAACAUCCCUAGGUGUGUAACUGUUUGUAUUACAGUUGUCACGGUAAUGUCCCAGGUGACUGGUGUCAAAAGACCUGGAUACCAGGCCCUGUGUUAAUUCUCCAGAAUUCAAUCUUUCUUUAUCCACUCAGUGGUCUUAACUGAGGAGCUACAAAGCAGGAAAAAAAAAAAUCCCUGUAGAAUAUUAUGAGUUUUUUAUUGAGAUGCAUCGUUUUCUGCUGGGCAAUUUUUUACAAAGGUUAACUAUGAGGAGAUAUGAAUGCCAAUAUACACUAGGGCUUAUAAAUUAGAAAAGGAAAUUGUUAUAAAAAGAUCAGAAUAAGAAUGAAUUAGUUGGAAAAGUGUAUUUUUAUAAAUCAUUAAAUAAAGACUCUGGAGAAAAAAAAUCACAUGUUAUAUCCUUGUUUAUAACACAGAAUCAUAAAAUUAUGUCACUGUCAAGGAUAUACUAGAAAUUAACUGAGUUACCUGAAUACAUUUUCUAACAGAACUAUUGUUUCACAAGAGUAUGAGUCCUGCACUUUCCAUCAGGACAGGGCCAUUGGAGAUGUUCCAAACUUUAUGAGCCAUGGGUUAAAAAAAAGUAUCUCUUCCCUUAAAAACAAAACAAAAGAAAGAAAGAAAAAAAAUGGUAUGAACAAUCAGCAUUUUAUACUUCAUCCUGGUCAUAGUCAUCUUCAUGAAGAUAAGGGUGGAUUUUCAGGAUUUCCUAUUUCUUCUAAUCUUGGACUGCUUCCCCAGGGAAAAAGAAAACAAAACAGCUUUAGAGAAAGCCACAAGCUGAACAUUAUGACCUACAGGCAACAUGUAAUUAAAAAGUUAACAGUGAGGCAGAAAGGGAAGAUGAAUUUUAAUGCUUUCCACAGUUUCCUGUUAUCCUGGGGCCUUGCAAAGUGAGUAGCACUGAUUGUAAACUUUCUCGACUUGCAUUUAGCAGGCCAGGCCGUUCCACACAGCCAGGGAUGAGGUAAGUGCAGAGCAUCUUUUGGUGAACUGUGGUGCCGUGCAAAGUUCUCUGUGCCUGCAGGGGAAUGACAGGUUUGACCUUCUGUGUGUCACACGGAGCCCCUCACCUGGCACUGGGGAUCCUCCUCGCUUGAGCCUCAUGUGUUGGAUAGAAGUUCAACACUCUCAACAAAGCUCUCAAGUGAAAAGAAAAAAAACAAUGGAAAGGGCACAAAAAAGGAGUGACAAACUGCACGCAAGGUUUCCCUUUAAAAAGUUCAGUUCGAUUUCUAACUCUUACUAUUUCCCUGAAGACUAGUUGCUCUAGGACAAAGGUGUUUUCUAGAUGCAACACAAGACUUGGGCUGCCAAAAAGUCAGUGCAUCAAAUAAGACCACCCCUUUUGCUACCACUUGCCUUGUCUGCAUCACAGCAGCCCCUGGGAGCCUGGGAUGGGGCUGGUGCAUUCAAAACUGAUGGAAAUGUGUGUCUCUCACACAGGAAAAGCUCAGGGAGCAGCAUCAGCAGCCCCAGCGACAAUUUGAUGGCUGCAUGUUCAGACAAUGAUUCUCUGGUUACCAAUGUUUAAUUUUAUAAACCUAAAAGUAGCACCAUUGAUUAUAUAAGAAUUACUCAUGCACACAUAAAUAAAAGCUUGCUGGACUGAGCAUUUGCAUGUGUGUUUUUAUGUUUAUGUAAAUAUUUCUUUAUCAGACAGGAUUUGUAUCCUGAUCUUGCUAAACAAACAUCUG